Molecule: long non-coding RNA, 901 nt
Organism: Drosophila gunungcola (fruit fly)
Lineage: Eukaryota; Metazoa; Arthropoda; Insecta; Diptera; Drosophilidae
Exons: 3
Source: RefSeq, a predicted model, not a curated record
GCCACUUGCAUCACUUCAGGCCAAGACGGGCAUCGCAGAAAAUGUGCUUCACACUUGUCAUUUUCCUCUUCGCAGUUGACCGUGAAAAUUUCCCGAGGCUGCCACACGCACAGCAGCAACAUCAGGCACACAACAGCAACAUCAAGCACACACCAGCAACACCAACUACAGCCCGCCCAAAAUAGCCCAAGUUCAAUGUAAACGCACUUGCGUGUAUCUGUCAUGGCCAAAACAUAACUGGCUCUAAUCUGCAGAGGAGGAGGAGGAGGGGGGUUUGGGACAGGGGACUUGUGUCUCCGGUUGUUGCGUCUGCGGGAGAAGGCCAACUUGGGCGGGUUGGUAGGGGCAGGAAUGUGCGCAAACUCACUGGGCAAUUUGUUUGCCCAUCACGUCGGCCCACGAACGCGAAACGAAAUGAAAAUGAAUUUCUUCAUAUUUUUAGCAAGCUUCGCAAUGGUUUUUCUGUUUACUUCUUUUCGCUUUUUGUAUAGCAAAUUCUGGGUUAUGCUAAUCUCGGCUUGCAAUUGUCUGGCAUAACAAUGGCCAGCUAGACGGGCCAGCGAUAAAGCACCAGAAGGCAGCACAGACCCAACCUCAUUCGUAGCCACAUCCACAUCCACAUCCACAUCUGCGUCCACAUCCCACAUAGAACCGCACUCGGGACUGGUCUGGAGUUCCGCUUUUGUGUAAUUGGCUGGAAGGUCGGUAUAGAUCAGACGGAAGAGUUUGAACACCAUUUGACAUGAUGUAAAUAACGUAUGAAACUCAUAAGUCAGGAAGUAGUUAUUGGAAGUCAAUUGGAAAAUUGCCUCAAACGAAGUGAAAGCUAAGGAAAAUAAAAUUAAAUAUUUAAAUUAUUUUCCCGUACUUUAAUUAAAUCAAAACCAUUAUUUACAGUGAC